CCUACGGGUGGCAGCAGUGAGGAAUAUUGGUCAAUGGGCGGGAGCCUGAACCAGCCAAGUCGCGUGAGGGACGACGGUCCUACGGAUUGUAAACCUCUUUUGUCGGGGAACAAAGGCGCCCACGGGUGGGCGGAUUAGUGUACCCGAAGAAAAAGCAUCGGAUUACGCCGUGCCAGCAGCCGCGGUAAUACGGAGGAUGCGAGCGUUAUCCGGAUUUAUUGGCUUUAAAGGGUGCGUAGGCUGAAAGUCAAGUCAGCGGUAAAACUGCGGUGCGCAACGGCAUACAGACGUUGAAACUGGCAGUCUUGAGUGGGGUAGAAGUAUGCGGAAUGCGUGGUGUAGCGGUGGAAUGCAUAGAUAUCAAGCAGAACUCCGAUUGCGAAGGCAGCAUACCGGCGCCCGACUGACGCUGAGGCACGAAAGCGUGGGUAUCGAACAGGAUUAGAUAACCUAGUAGUUC
This 460-nucleotide ribosomal RNA is filed under the name uncultured bacterium. Its description in RNAcentral is "partial 16S ribosomal RNA". It matches the Rfam family "Bacterial small subunit ribosomal RNA", at positions 338 to 796 of the family's 1533-position model. The record is from RNAcentral.